Molecule: ribosomal RNA, 500 nt
Filed under: uncultured bacterium
Lineage: Bacteria
Description: partial 16S ribosomal RNA
Rfam family: Bacterial small subunit ribosomal RNA
Source: RNAcentral
AUUGAACGCUGGCGGCAUGCUUUACACAUGCAAGUCGAACGGUAACAGGGUGCUUGCACCGCUGACGAGUGGCGAACGGGUGAGUAAUGCGUCGGAACGCACCGAGUAAUGGGGGAUAACGCAGCGAAAGCUGUGCUAAUACCGCAUACGCUCUGAGGAGGAAAGCGGGGGACCUUCGGGCCUCGCGUUAUUCGAGCGGCCGACGUCUGAUUAGCUAGUAGGUGAGGUAAGAGCUCACCUAGGCGACGAUCAGUAGCGGGUCUGAGAGGAUGGACCGCCACACUGGGACGGGGACACGGCCCAGACUCCUACGGGAGGCAGCAGUGGGGAAUUUUGGACAAUGGGCGCAAGCCUGAUCCAGCCAUGCCGCGUGUCUGAAGAAGGCCUUCGGGUUGUAAAGGACUUUUGUCAGGGAGGAAAUCCUUAGCGCUAAUACCGUUGAGGGAUGACAGUACCUGAAGAAUAAGCACCGGCUAACUACGUGCCAGCAGCCGCCGUAA